Molecule: microRNA, 24 nt
Filed under: Equus caballus (horse)
Lineage: Eukaryota; Metazoa; Chordata; Mammalia; Perissodactyla; Equidae
Description: eca-miR-8992
Source: miRBase by way of RNAcentral
CGCGCUGCAGGCUGCGCCCGGGGA